Unclassified non-coding RNA from Rattus norvegicus (Norway rat), 293 nucleotides. Ensembl annotates it as Metazoan signal recognition particle RNA. The record is from Ensembl. NCBI's taxonomy places the organism in Eukaryota, Metazoa, Chordata, Mammalia, Rodentia, Muridae.
GCCGGGCGCGGUGGCGCACACCUGUAGUCCCAGCCACUUGGGAGGCUGAGACAGGAGGAUUGCUUGAGUCCAGGAGUUCUGGGCUGCAGUGCACUACGCCAAUUGGGUGUUCGCACUAAGUUCGGCAUUAAUAUGGUGACCUCCCGGGAGUGGGGGACCACCAGGUUGCCUAAGGAGGGGUGAACCGGUCCAGGUCGGAAAUGGAGCAGGUAAAAAAUAUAUAAAAUGAAUAAAUUUUUAAAAAUAUAUAAAAUUUAGAGGUCAGAGAGGAGUAUGCGCCAAAGCUCACACAU